CCUUGCCCAACACUCCCCAGUGGAGAGCUUGCAGAUGCAGACUGACCAGUGCACAGGUCUGCUGGGCAGCUGCACAUUGAAGAAGACAAAGAGAAUGCGGCUAGCAGGAAAACCCAAAAGCUGAAUGGCAGAGGAAGAAGGAGAAACCCCUCUGGGAUCUUAGAGUGACUCCAUAAUUCUUGGAGUAAAUGUGUGUGCCUGCUAUCGUCAAAUAACUUUGAAAUAAUUGAAAGGAAAGAAGACUACCUGAUUGUAACUAUUGCCAUCAUGACAAAAAUCACCAGAGACCUUGGAAUUUGCUUCCCAAACCCAGUGGUUUAACAAUAUCAAGGACCAUUUCUCUCUGCUGCACUGGGAAUGUGUUAUACCAAAAAACAGGAACUAGAACUUCUACUAGAUGACAAAAGACUGCCAUCAAUAAAACAAGUGAGUAAAAUCCAAUAGGCAGCAGAAGCUGGCCUGGAAAUUGCUAAAUGGAAAGCUGCUCAUGAAGGGUCCUGUUCAGAGAACAUGAAACAUGUCCUGAGGAUGCUGACAGUUUGCCCCAGCAAGGUGCUACUUAUCUUCUUGUGGAUGUUUUUCCCUCUGCUACUACUGAAACCUGACUAGCUCCAUAAAAACUUAAGUUUGUGCCAGUUCCCCAUCUAUCUGCAUGAAAUGGCUGCUAAAGGAUGAGGGAAGAGAGGAUAUGAGCUGAAAAGAAUUUUAGCAGCAAGUCUGAAAGAAAAAUGGAAAGACCUGCAGCAAGUGAGGAAUUCUGUGGCAGAACAGCCAAGUGCACACGGGUCAGAGGGUGAGACCCUCUGUGGGCAUUCAUCUGCGUGUACAGUCAGUAAAAUUGUGGCUUUGGUAGACAGUCCUAAGAUGGUUACUUAAAGUAUUUUUUAUUUUUUUAUUUUAACUGAAAAUACAUAUUGUUGAUACGUGUGUGUGAUUUGGAAUACAUCAGAUGAAAUGUGAAUAUUCUAAACUGAUCUAUGUAGAUAAUUAUCUAUAAAAGAUAAUUAGCCUUAAGAGCCUUUUGCCCUGUCAAGAUGGGAAGAUAAGUCAGGGGAUUCUAAAUUCUUUUUUUCGUAGAGGCCUCAGUCUCUUUCUUUGUAAUUCAGAACUUAAUUA
Molecule: non-coding RNA, 1116 nt
Organism: Zonotrichia albicollis (white-throated sparrow)
Lineage: Eukaryota; Metazoa; Chordata; Aves; Passeriformes; Passerellidae
Source: RefSeq, a predicted model, not a curated record